Molecule: microRNA, 22 nt
Filed under: Nicotiana tabacum (common tobacco)
Lineage: Eukaryota; Viridiplantae; Streptophyta; Magnoliopsida; Solanales; Solanaceae
Description: nta-miR6145a
Source: miRBase by way of RNAcentral
CAUUUUCACAUGUAGCACUGAC